Molecule: ribosomal RNA, 465 nt
Filed under: uncultured bacterium
Lineage: Bacteria
Description: partial 16S ribosomal RNA
Rfam family: Bacterial small subunit ribosomal RNA
Source: RNAcentral
GACGAACGUUGGCGGCGUGCUUAACACAUGCAAGUCGAACGGAAAGGCCCUGCUUGCAGGGUACUCGAGUGGCGAACGGGUGAGUAACACGUGGGUGAUCUGCCCUGCACUUCGGGAUAAGCCUGGGAAACUGGGUCUAAUACCGGAUAGGAGCCAUUUUUAGUGUGAUGGUUGGAAAGUUUUUUCGGUGUAGGAUGAGCUCGCGGCCUAUCAGCUUGUUGGUGGGGUAAUGGCCUACCAAGGCGGCGACGGGUAGCCGGCCUGAGAGGGUGGACGGCCACAUUGGGACUGAGAUACGGCCCAGACUCCUACGGGAGGCAGCAGUGGGGAAUAUUGCACAAUGGGCGCAAGCCUGAUGCAGCGACGCCGCGUGGGGGAUGACGGCCUUCGGGUUGUAAACUCCUUUCGCUAGGGACGAAGCUUUUUGUGACGGUACCUAGAGAAGAAGCACCGGCUAACUACGUG